RNAcentral lists this ribosomal RNA (500 nucleotides) under uncultured bacterium. RNAcentral's name for it is "partial 16S ribosomal RNA". It matches the Rfam family "Bacterial small subunit ribosomal RNA", at positions 30 to 523 of the family's 1533-position model. The record is from RNAcentral.
AUUGAACGCUGGCGGCAUGCCUUACACAUGCAAGUCGAACGGUAACGGGUCCUUCGGGAUGCCGACGAGUGGCGAACGGGUGAGUAAUAUAUCGGAACGUGCCCAGUAGUGGGGGAUAACUGCUCGAAAGAGCAGCUAAUACCGCAUACGACCUGAGGGUGAAAGGGGGGGAUCGCAAGACCUCUCGCUAUUGGAGCGGCCGAUAUCAGAUUAGCUAGUUGGUGGGGUAAAGGCCCACCAAGGCAACGAUCUGUAGUUGGUUUGAGAGGACGACCAGCCACACUGGGAAUGAGACACGGCCCAGACUCCUACGGGAGGCAGCAGUGGGGAAUUUUGGACAAUGGGCGCAAGCCUGAUCCAGCAAUGCCGCGUGCAGGAAGAAGGCCUUCGGGUUGUAAAGCCCUUUUGUUGGGAAAGAAAUCCAUCUGGUUAAUACCCGGGUGGGAUGACGGUACCCAAAGAAUAAGCACCGGCUAACUUCGUGCCAGCCGCCGCCGUAA